ACAAGUUGCCUUUUGGUACCUAGCAUUUUUAUCCCUCUUUAAAUACUGCCAAGGAAAACCAAGUUUCCAGUAAUUGGCACAAAUUUUACUACAAAAGGCAUAUGAGCAACCACUGCUUGAGAUAGUGACUCCUAAAUUAUGCAAAGAACAAAUUCUGGAACAUUUCUCAACUUGAACCAAUUUGAUAUUGAAGAUAUUCACUUCCUUAUUCUCUGCAUCUCACUCCUAAGGUUAGCUUGGGUGAUUACUCACACUGCAAUCAAAAUAAUAAAUAAUCAAUAAUUAAUCUUGAAUUUUAUAAAAAAUUUGAAUAACUUUUUAUAGCAAAGUUCUUUAGGGAUCAAUUUUAUAUUUUAAUUAUUUUUAUAUUUUUUUAUAAAUUUCUGUAUUAAAACUUUUUAUUAUUAUAAAUAGCAAUUUUCUUAACCAUUUGUAAAAUUUUUAAAUUUUUGAAAAUUUUAUAAAAAAUUUUAAUUUGAAUUUUACUUAAUUUUUUGAGAAUUUUAUAAAAAAUUUUAAUUUUAAUUUUACUUAAUUAAAUAAUAUUAGUUAAAAUUUUUGACAGAAUUUUAAUAAUUCUAUUCUAAUUAAACUUUACUAACCGGAAAUAUUUUAAAAUUGGUGGUUUGGUAGCUAGGUCAAUAGUGCAAUUAUAAGAACACUAUUUUCAAAAAGAAAAAGAAAAAGGAAAAAAAAAAUUAACCACAAUUUUUGAGCAUUUAAUUAAAUAUUUAAUAUUAUAAAAAUUAAAUAAUACAAAUAAUUAAAAUUAUAGAAAAUAAAGCGAUAUAAAUAUUUAAGUUGAUUAAUAUAUACGUUUUAAUUAAGUGAUUUAAUUUUCUGAGGACUCAUUUAUAAUAACUUAUCCAAGAAAAUAAAUGAUCAAACUGUUAUAGCCCUCAUUUUCAGGACACAAAUUAAAUCUGUCCGUUUGUGUUGUUCUAGUACACACUAUUAUCUUCUAGUUUCCUUGCUCUCUACACCUAAGAUUGUCUAUAAAAGGGCCAAGUAGCCACUACCCAGUCAUGAGUUGUGAUCAAAGAUCAUAGUUGAGAGGUGAAAGAUGAGUGGAACUGCUUGCUCCAACAACGCCUAUGCUAUGCAAGACAUGAGACCAAAUGGGUAUUAUCAUCAUCAUCAAGGAAGCAAGAUCAAAGACAAGUGCUCCUACUUCCAGAUGCCACUGCACUAUCCAAGAUUCAAGAAGAGGGACUACGAGACAAUGCCUGAAUGGAAGUUGGAGUGUUUGCUGACAGAGUAUGGACUGCCGGUGGUCGGCGAUGUUGAUCAAAAAAGAAAGUUUGCGAUGGGAGCCUUCCUUUGGCCUUCGGAGAAGGAGUGAACAAGAAAGUAGGGAUCAUGUAUUAGUUAAUUAAUAAUUAGUAUUCUAUAUAUGUUCCUUAUUAAUAGAACUGUGAUCAUAGAUUUAUAGAUAUCUAAGUUAUAUGUAAUGUUCUAUAUUUAUAAUUGAAUUAGACGUAUGCUACUAGCUACUAUGCAACUUCAUUAUUCAUUAUUUAUUAUUAUUAUUUUAAUAUUCAAUGAUGAAAUAAUUAAAUUGGAGAGUA
RNAcentral lists this long non-coding RNA (1568 nucleotides) under Manihot esculenta (cassava). RNAcentral's name for it is "long non-coding RNA (MESC_LNC011551)". The record is from RNAcentral. Lineage: Eukaryota; Viridiplantae; Streptophyta; Magnoliopsida; Malpighiales; Euphorbiaceae.